UGGCUAACUAAGGAGCAAGUCUUUGCGACCAGGGCCAACAAAAGCAAAAAUGUUGUUCUCAUCCUUAAAUUGGAGUAUCAUAGAUUACUCACUGAAUACACCUAUCCUACUAAGUGUACUGUUUCAGAUACCAACCCUACAGAUAAGGUUAGAAGUUUUUCAAAUAUGGAACCACCUGGAAGCUCCGACUUUCACUCGCAAAUGUAGACAAACUUAUAACGCCACUCCUAGACUGUUCGGUUAUAUCAAGUGCCACAAGCCUUCCUUAGAGAUCCGACCUAUCAUCGAAAAAUACACCACCCCAACUUACAAGUUGGAGAAAUC
Molecule: long non-coding RNA, 324 nt
Filed under: Androctonus crassicauda
Lineage: Eukaryota; Metazoa; Arthropoda; Arachnida; Scorpiones; Buthidae
Source: RNAcentral